AGAGUUUGAUCCUGGCUCAGGAUGAACGCUGGCGGCGUGCCUAAUACAUGCAAGUCGAGCGAACGGACGAGAAGCUUGCUUCUCUGAUGUUAGCGGCGGACGGGUGAGUAACACGUGGAUAACCUACCUAUAAGACUGGGAUAACUUCGGGAAACCGGAGCUAAUACCGGAUAAUAUUUUGAACCGCAUGGUUCAAAAGUGAAAGACGGUCUUGCUGUCACUUAUAGAUGGAUCCGCGCUGCAUUAGCUAGUUGGUAAGGUAACGGCUUACCAAGGCAACGAUGCAUAGCCGACCUGAGAGGGUGAUCGGCCACACUGGAACUGAGACACGGUCCAGACUCCUACGGGAGGCAGCAGUAGGGAAUCUUCCGCAAUGGGCGAAAGCCUGACGGAGCAACGCCGCGUGAGUGAUGAAGGUCUUCGGAUCGUAAAACUCUGUUAUUAGGGAAGAACAUAUGUGUAAGUAACUGUGCACAUCUUGACGGUACCUAAUCAGAAAGCCACGGCUAACUACGUGCCAGCAGCCGCGGUAAUACGUAGGUGGCAAGCGUUAUCCGGAAUUAUUGGGCGUAAAGCGCGCGUAGGCGGUUUUUUAAGUCUGAUGUGAAAGCCCACGGCUCAACCGUGGAGGGUCAUUGGAAACUGGAAAACUUGAGUGCAGAAGAGGAAAGUGGAAUUCCAUGUGUAGCGGUGAAAUGCGCAGAGAUAUGGAGGAACACCAGUGGCGAAGGCGACUUUCUGGUCUGUAACUGACGCUGAUGUGCGAAAGCGUGGGGAUCAAACAGGAUUAGAUACCCUGGUAGUCCACGCCGUAAACGAUGAGUGCUAAGUGUUAGGGGGUUUCCGCCCCUUAGUGCUGCAGCUAACGCAUUAAGCACUCCGCCUGGGGAGUACGACCGCAAGGUUGAAACUCAAAGGAAUUGACGGGGACCCGCACAAGCGGUGGAGCAUGUGGUUUAAUUCGAAGCAACGCGAAGAACCUUACCAAAUCUUGACAUCCUUUGACAACUCUAGAGAUAGAGCCUUCCUCUUCGGGGGACAAAGUGACAGGUGGUGCAUGGUUGUCGUCAGCUCGUGUCGUGAGAUGUUGGGUUAAGUCCCGCAACGAGCGCAACCCUUAAGCUUAGUUGCCAUCAUUAAGUUGGGCACUCUAAGUUGACUGCCGGUGACAAACCGGAGGAAGGUGGGGAUGACGUCAAAUCAUCAUGCCCCUUAUGAUUUGGGCUACACACGUGCUACAAUGGACAAUACAAAGGGCAGCGAAACCG
RNAcentral lists this ribosomal RNA (1268 nucleotides) under Staphylococcus aureus M0776. RNAcentral describes it as "bacterial SSU rRNA". It matches the Rfam family "Bacterial small subunit ribosomal RNA", at positions 8 to 1257 of the family's 1533-position model. RNAcentral also lists the same sequence under 8 other names. The record is from RNAcentral. Lineage: Bacteria; Bacillati; Bacillota; Bacilli; Caryophanales; Staphylococcaceae.